AGCGAACGCUGGCGGCAGGCCUAACACAUGCAAGUCGAACGAACCUUUCGGGAUUAUUGUCGGACGGGUGUGUAACACGUGGGAACGUUCCUUUAGGGUCGGAAUAACUCAGGGAAACGUGUGCUAAUACCGAAUGUGCCCUUCGGGGGAAAGAUUUAUUGCCUUUAGAGCGGCCCGCGUCUGAUUAGCUAGUUGGUUGAGGUAAUGGCUCACCAAGGCGACGAUCAGUAGAUGGUCUGAGAGGAUGAUCAGCCACAUUGGGACUGAGACACGGCACAAACUCCUACGGGAAGCAGCAGAGGGGAAUCUUGCGCAAUGGGCGAAAGCAUGACGCAGCCAUGCCGCGUGAAUGAUGAAGGUCUUAGGAUUGUAAAAUUCUUUCACCGGGGAAGAUCAUGACGGUACCCGGAGAAGAAGCCCCGGCUAACUUCGUG
RNAcentral lists this ribosomal RNA (434 nucleotides) under uncultured bacterium. RNAcentral's name for it is "partial 16S ribosomal RNA". It matches the Rfam family "Bacterial small subunit ribosomal RNA", at positions 29 to 507 of the family's 1533-position model. The record is from RNAcentral.